This 337-nucleotide ribosomal RNA is filed under the name uncultured eukaryote. RNAcentral's name for it is "partial 18S ribosomal RNA". It matches the Rfam family "Eukaryotic small subunit ribosomal RNA", at positions 1470 to 1796 of the family's 1831-position model. The record is from RNAcentral.
CCCUUAGAUGUUCUGGGCCGCACGCGCGCUACACUGACAGAGCCAACGAGUUCUAUCCAUUCCUUGGCCGGAAGGCCUGGGUAAUCUUGUUAAACUCUGUCGUGCUGGGGAUAGAGCAUUGCAAUUAUUGCUCUUGAACGAGGAAUGCCUAGUAAGCGCGUGUCAUCAGCACGCGUUGAUUACGUCCCUGCCCUUUGUACACACCGCCCGUCGCUACUACCGAUCGGAUUGUCCUGUGAAUUUCUAGGAGAGUUGAGGUCCUGGCGCUUCGGUGUCGGCGACCUCAUGCUUGAAUUGAAUUGAACUGGACUCUCUAGAGGAAGUAAAAGUCGUAACA